GAUGAGCGCUGGCGGUAUGCCUAACACAUGCAAGUCGCACGCCUCACUUCGGUGAGGAGUGGCGGACGGGUGAGUAACACGUUAGUACCUGCCCCAAAGUGGGGAAUAACUGCCCGAAAGGGUAGCUAAUACCCCAUAGUCUCCGGUUUAUCCGGAGUAAAGAUUUAUCGCUUUGGGAGGGGCUUGCGUUUGAUUAGCUAGUUGGUGAGGGUAAUGGCCCACCAAGGCGACGAUCAAUAGCUGGAUCGAGAGGUUGACCAGCCACACUGGGACUGAGAUACGGCCCAGACUCCUACGGGAGGCAGCAGUGAGGAAUCUUCCACAAUGGGCGAAAGCCUGAUGGAGCAAUACCGCGUGCAGGAUGAAGCUUUUCGGAGUGUAAACUGCUUUUCUGAAGGAAGAUUAUGACGGUACUUCAGGAAUAAGGAUCGGCUAACUACGUG
This 443-nucleotide ribosomal RNA is filed under the name uncultured bacterium. RNAcentral's name for it is "bacterial SSU rRNA". It matches the Rfam family "Bacterial small subunit ribosomal RNA", at positions 28 to 507 of the family's 1533-position model. The record is from RNAcentral.